AAUCCCGUCUUUGACACGGACUGCCAGGGCUUUGUGAUACACUCUCAAAGAGUCGAGUUGUUUGGGAAUGCAGCUCAAAAUGGGUGGUAAAUUCCAUCUAAAGCUAAAUAUUGGCGAGAGACCGAUAGCGAACAAGUACCGUGAGGGAAAGAUGAAAAGAACUUUGGAAAGAGAGUUAAACAGUACGUGAAAUUGCUGAAAGGGAAACGCUUGAAGUCAGUCGCGUUGACCAGGGAUCAACCUUGCUCUUGCUUGGUGUACUUUCUGGCUGAUGGGUCAGCAUCAAUUUUGACUGUUGGAAAAAGAUCAAGGAAAUGUAGCAUCUUUGGGUAGAUGUGUUAUAGCCUUUGGUUGCAUACAAUGGUUGGGAUUGAAGAACUCAGCACGCCGCAAGGGCGGGUUUUAAACCACGUACGUGCUUAGGAUGUUGGCAUAAUGGCUUUAAUCGACCCGUCUUGAAACACGGACCAAGGAGUCUAACAUGCCUGCGAAUGUUUGCGUGGAAACCCGAGCGCGUAAGAAAGUGAAAGUUGAGAUCCCUGUCGCGGGGAGCAUCGACGCCCGGACCAGACCUUUUGUGACGGUCCCCGGUAGAGCAUGUAUGUUGGGACCCGAAAGAUGGUGUACUAUGCGUGAAUAGGGUGAAGCCAGAGGAAACUCUGGUGGAGGGUCGUAGCGAUUCUGACGUGCAAAUCGAUCGUCAAAUUUGGGUAUAGGGGCGAAAGACUAAUCGAACCAUCUAGUAGCUGGUUCCUGCCGAAGUUCCCUCAGGAUAGCAGAAACUCAUAUCAGAUUUAUGUGGUAAAGCGAAUGAUUAGAGGCGGGGUUGAAACAACCUUAACCUAUUCUCAAACUUUAAAUAUGUAAGAACAAGCCGUCUCUUGACUGGACCGCUUGGCGAUUGAGAGUUUCUAGUGGGCCAUUUUUGGUAAGCAGAACUGGCGAUGCGGGAUGAACCGAACGCGAGGUUAAGGUGCCGGAAUUCACGCUCAUCAGACACCACAAAAGGUGUUAGUUCAUCUAGACAGCAGGACGGUGGCCAUGGAAGUCGGAAUCCCCUAAGGAGUGUGUAACAACU
Molecule: ribosomal RNA, 1078 nt
Filed under: Cortinarius sp.
Lineage: Eukaryota; Fungi; Basidiomycota; Agaricomycetes; Agaricales; Cortinariaceae
Description: partial large subunit ribosomal RNA
Rfam family: Eukaryotic large subunit ribosomal RNA
Source: RNAcentral